CACAUAUUAAAUUUUUAAUUUGUUCUUUAUUUUAACAGAGAUUUAGAAGGCAUGUGAGAAGAUACCCGAGAGAGUAUUUUAAUUCUCAGCUAUCUCAAGAAGAUAGACCUUAUCAACCUGAUCCAUCAAUUUAUUAUCCUGAAUAUCCAUAUCCAUAUCCAGUGCAAUAGCGUUAGAAUGCUGUUCAGUACCACAGGACGGGAUUACAGAGGCUUGGCGGGAGAUUCGAUUUGCUCUGUGCUCAUGAUGAUUCUUCCUACUCCACAACCCUUUACCCAUCUGGCAACGUUAUGUUAGCCCUCAACUAACAAAUACAGCCAAAGUUUUUUUAAAGCAUCCUUUUGAAUAAUUCAAAA
This is a non-coding RNA of Equus caballus (horse), 356 nucleotides long. Lineage: Eukaryota; Metazoa; Chordata; Mammalia; Perissodactyla; Equidae. The record is from RefSeq and is a predicted model, not a curated record.